RNAcentral lists this transfer RNA (76 nucleotides) under Sulfurovum sp. RNAcentral's name for it is "tRNA-Lys". It matches the Rfam family "tRNA". Rfam says of the family: Transfer RNA (tRNA) molecules are approximately 80 nucleotides in length. Their secondary structure includes four short double-helical elements and three loops (D, anti-codon, and T loops). Further hydrogen bonds mediate the characteristic L-shaped molecular structure. tRNAs have two regions of fundamental functional importance: the anti-codon, which is responsible for specific mRNA codon recognition, and the 3' end, to which the tRNAs corresponding amino acid is attached (by aminoacyl-tRNA synthetases). tRNAs cope with the degeneracy of the genetic code in two manners: having more than one tRNA (with a specific anti-codon) for a particular amino acid; and 'wobble' base-pairing, i.e. permitting non-standard base-pairing at the 3rd anti-codon position. RNAcentral also lists the same sequence under 1 other name. The record is from RNAcentral. Lineage: Bacteria; Pseudomonadati; Campylobacterota; Epsilonproteobacteria; Campylobacterales; Sulfurovaceae.
GACCCGUUAGCUCAGUCGGUAGAGCAACUCCCUUUUAAGGAGUGGGCCCUUGGUUCGAAUCCAAGACGGGUCACCA